This 301-nucleotide ribosomal RNA is filed under the name uncultured bacterium. Its description in RNAcentral is "partial 16S ribosomal RNA". It matches the Rfam family "Bacterial small subunit ribosomal RNA", at positions 509 to 807 of the family's 1533-position model. The record is from RNAcentral.
CAGUAGCCGCGGGAAUACGUAGGUGGCAAGCGUUGUCCGGGAUUAUUGGGCGUAAAGGGCUCGCAGGCGGUUUCUUAAGUCUGAUGUGAAAGCCCCCGGCUCAACCGGGGAGGGUCAUUGGAAACUGGGAAACUUGAGUGCAGAAGAGGAGAGUGGAAUUCCACGUGUAGCGGUGAAAUGCGUAGAGAUGUGGAGGAACACCAGUGGCGAAGGCGACUCUCUGGUCUGUAACUGACGCUGAGGAGCGAAAGCGUGGGGAGCGAACAGGAUUAGAUACCCCCGUAGUCCCUGUCUCUUAUAC